This 492-nucleotide ribosomal RNA is filed under the name Fusarium sp. MS424. RNAcentral describes it as "eukaryotic LSU rRNA". The stretch from base 140 to 293 matches the Rfam family "5.8S ribosomal RNA". Lineage: Eukaryota; Fungi; Ascomycota; Sordariomycetes; Hypocreales; Nectriaceae. The record is from RNAcentral.
UCCCAACCCCUGUGAACAUACCUAUCCUUGUUUCUCGGGGAUCACCCCCCGGCCUUCUGGCCCCGACCCAGGGGCCCGCCGGAGGACCCAAACUCUUGAUUCUAUGAUUUUUUUCUGAGUAAACAAGGAAAUAAAUUUAUUCUUUCAACAACGGAUCUCUUGGUUCUGGCAUCGAUGAAGAACGCACGGAAAUGUUAUAAGUAAUGUGAAUUGCAAAAUUCCGUGAAUCAUCUAAUCUUUGAACGCACAUUGCGUCCGCCAAUAUUCUGGUGGUUAUGCCUGUUUUGGGGCCAUUUCAACCCUCAAGCCCCCGGGUUUGGGGGUGGGGUUUCGACCCUCCCUCCCGCCUGGGGCGCCUCCGGAAGGUAGAGGGGGCCUCGCUGGACCCCCCUCUGCGUAGGAGAUAACACCUCACAACGGCAAGUCAACGAGGACACGCCUCUAAACCCCCCACUUAUGAAGGCUGACCUCGGAUCAGGCAAGAAUACCCGC